RNAcentral lists this ribosomal RNA (338 nucleotides) under uncultured bacterium. RNAcentral describes it as "bacterial SSU rRNA". It matches the Rfam family "Bacterial small subunit ribosomal RNA", at positions 29 to 354 of the family's 1533-position model. The record is from RNAcentral.
AACGAACGUUAGCGGCGCGCUUAACACAUGCAAGUCGAGCGAGAAAGGGGCAACCCCGGUAAAGCGGCGCACGGGUGAGUAACACGUAGGUAAUUUACCCUCGGGUGGAGGAUAACCUUCCGAAAGGAAGGCUAAUACUGCAUGAGACCACGUCUUCGUGAGGAGAUGAGGUCAAAGCCGGCCACUGUAUACAAGCUGGCGCCUGAGGAUGAGCCUGCGGCCCAUCAGCUAGUUGGUAGGGUAAUGGCCUACCAAGGCGAAGACGGGUAGCUGGUCUGAGAGGAUGAUCAGCCACACUGGAACUGAGACACGGUCCAGACUCCUACGGGAGGCAACGA